This is a long non-coding RNA of Mizuhopecten yessoensis (Yesso scallop), 150 nucleotides long. RefSeq lists it as uncharacterized. The transcript has 3 exons. The record is from RefSeq and is a predicted model, not a curated record. Lineage: Eukaryota; Metazoa; Mollusca; Bivalvia; Pectinida; Pectinidae.
CUUUAACGUGCAGACCUUUGACGAGCUCAAUGCUCUCAGUGACCAAGUGUUCUCUUCUCUAUGUCCAGGUUUUAAAAGUGAAGCACAGACCCCGAGAACUACAGCGUCAGUGCCGAGAGUUACUGAUCCUCCUACCACAACCACCACUAC